Molecule: long non-coding RNA, 4103 nt
Organism: Ostrea edulis (European flat oyster)
Lineage: Eukaryota; Metazoa; Mollusca; Bivalvia; Ostreida; Ostreidae
Exons: 2
Source: RefSeq, a predicted model, not a curated record
CGUUGUAAACCAUGUUGACAACUUAACAAUAUAAAUUACGUUUAUGAGAGCAAAAUGGUCAGUCCUUGGUAUUUUGCUAUAGGGAUGUUUUACUGUACAUGUAUUUAUUCACCCUGUGGAAGUUUGAUAUGUAUACUUUCUAUACUUACAGUGUUUUAAUGUAGAAUUAUGACCACAGCAUUUCUUUUAUCUUGGCAGUACUAACUGUUAAAAUUAAUAUUAUUAUACCCCCCCCCCGCAACAAGUUGUGGGGGGUAUACUGGAAUCGGGUUGUCCGUCUGUCUGUAGACGCAAUGGUUUCCGGGCUCUAAAGCAUUAUCCUUUCCACCUACCGCCACCAUAUCAUAUAUAUGGACUACCCAUGGGAUGAAGAUGUUCCCUAUCGAUUUUGGGGUCAAAGGUCAAGCGCACUGGACAUCGAAGUAGCAAUAUGGUUUCCGGGCUCUAAAGCGUUAUCCUUUCCACCUACAGUCACCAUAUCAUAUAUAUGGACUACCCAUGGGAUGAAGAUGUUCCCUAUCGAUUUUGGGGUCAAAAGGUCAAAGGUCAAGCGCACUGGACAUCGAAAUAGCAAUAUGGUUUCCGGGCUCUAAAGCGUUAUCCUUUCCACCUACAGUCACCAUAUCAUACAUAUGGACUACCCAUGGGAUGAAGAUGUUCCCUAUCGAUUUUGGGGUCAAAAGGUCAAAGGUCACGUGCACUAGACAUCGAAGUAGCAAUAUGGUUCGGUUUGUCAUGCCAUUUGUUUUUUACACUCAGAAAAGAGGUAGUUUAUACCUAUUACCAACACCCUUUGGGAGAUUGGGGUAAGCGGGGUGUAUUCUUAGUGAGCAUUGCUCCAGUACCUCUUGUUUUUCAUUACUAAUGCCAUAAAAUCAGGGAUCCAAGGCCUAUGAUAAUUGUGCAAACUUAAAACAAAAAGGUGGAGGCUCAUACCUCACAUUACAAAGGUUUUGACCUAUGAAUAUGUGUGCCUAUCAUAAAAUGGCACUUUCUAUUCUGGUUUAAAUAUUUGUGUUUUUAAAAUUAAGUUGCAAUUUUUUCCAGAGGAAGUAAAGGAUAUUGAUGCCAGUUCUUGUGUAGUCUAGGUCACCUACACGUUUGUCAAUGCAGUGUUCUACGAGACAAACGUCUAGGAGCAUUCUACGAUAAACAUUUACACUCCAUAACGAGGCUUAUCUGAAUUCUGAUAAAGCAGCUGAUUGGUUGAUGCAUAUAACGAUGACGGACGCAGUCGAACAGAGGAUAAACAAAGUUUUAUCAGAUUUAAAAAUCGAAUUCUCGCUGAAACCUUUACAGAAAGAGUGUUUACUUAAUUAGCAAAUAGGUCAGACGUGUUGGCAGUAUUACCAACAGGCUAUGGGAAAUCGCUAUUGUAUACGAUUCUACCGCAAUUAAUGUUUGAAGAAGACCUGCAUAGUAAUACUAGUUCUCGUGAAGUCAGCAUAAUUCUGGUCAUAUCGUCACUGGUUUCUCUAAUGAAGGACCAAGUUUCGAACUUGCAAAAACACAACGUUUGCUUUCUUUAGAACAAGCGACACAUAAACUAACAAUUGGAACAACAGCUGUGGUCUUUGUUUUCUUCGGUGUCGCCAUUUCCGUUUUUCGAUAGCGCCCCCUCGCGGUGUAAUAUUUUUAAAUAGAACGCUCCAAGGCGUUUGAGUGGGAAGUCAAACGGCUUGCGUGACCUAGGCUAGUUCUUGUGUGGAUGAUGAGGAUCAGAGUGAGGAGGAAAGAGAUGACAGUCAAGACAACCAGAAUUUCCAAACUGUGACUCCAGGGAAGAGGGAGGCAGUAUCUGAUAGCGGAUGCUCCAGAGAAAUAGAUGAGUCUUCAUCCAAGCGACAGAAGUUACAGAAAAAGUCAUGGACUUCAUCUGAAAUGAACUCCAUUCACAAACAUUUUUCACACUUUAUUACCAUGUUGAAGGUACCCGGGAAAAAUGAUGUAACAAAUGUUUUGAAAAAAGAUAAAAAACCUUUCAAAAAGAACUUGGAGAAAUGUAAGAAACCAAGUCUACAAUCUAAUUAAAAAACAGAGAAAAUGUUGAUUUUGAUACUACUUUGAUUGUUCACUAGAAUUGAUGGUAUCUGUAUGAAAAAUGAUAUUUUUGUUUACAGUUCUUACAAUUUACAUAAAUUGUACAUAAAAGAAUUUGUUGAAUCAUUAUCAAAAUAGAUUUUGACAAAUUUCAGCUUUUUAGCUCAUAUGAGCCAAAGGCUCAAGUGAGCCUUUCUGAUCAAAAUUUGUCUGUUGUCUGUCAUUGUUGUGACCGGAAGGUCGGAUGUUCGAAUCCCUGCUGCGACUUGACCUGAGUCAAUAAGAAAUAGGUAGCAACUGUUCCAUGGCCAAGCGCUCAACACAUUGAAAUAAUAGUUUCAGGUCUUUCAGAUGAGACCUUAAAAACUGAGGUUCCGUGUCAUGGCAGGUGUUGGCAUGAUAAAGAUCCCUCACUGUUCGAUGGCCCUAAGUUCCGAGUAAAGGUCUAAAUUUGAAGCCCUUCGCUGGUAUAUGGUGAGGUCUCUAUAUGACUGAAAAUCUCAAACGGGAUGUAAAACAACAUACAAUCAAUCUAUCAAUCAGUCAUUGUCAACUUUUUACAAUAUCAUCUUCUUCUCCAGAACCACUGGGCCAGUUUCAACCAGACUUGGCACAAAUUAGGAAUUCAAGUUUGUGCAAAUGAAGGGCCACACCGUCUUUCAAGGGAAAAUAAUUAAGAAAAAGUAAAAUUGGGUGUUGUUAUUCAAAAAUCUUCUUCUCAAGAUCCUUUGGGUCAGUAAAGAUGAAACUUAAAUGAAAGCUUUCUGACAAAGUGUAAAUUCAAUUUAUUCAAAUCAUGACCCCGGGGUAUUGGUGGAGCCAUUAUGGGCAAUCAAAGUUUUACAUAGGAAUACAUAGGGAAAAUCUUUAAAAUCUUCUUCUUAAGAACAGCAGAGUCAUAAUCAGUCACAUUUAUAUGGAAGCAUCGUCAGGUAGUGUAGAUUCAAGUUUGUUCAAAUCAUGACCCCUGGGAGUAGGGUGGGGCCAUUAUGAACAAUCAAUACCUAGGAAUACAUAGGAAAAAUCCUUAAAAUCUAUUUCUCAAAAACAGCAUAGCCAUGAUAAUUCAUUUUAUAUGGAGGUAUCCUCAGGUAGUGUAGAAUCAAGUUUGGUCCAAUUGUGGCCCAGAGGUAGGGUGGGACAACUAUGGGCGGUCAAAUUUUUUACACAGGAAUACAUAGCAAAAUUCUUUAAAACUAUUUUCCCCAUGAAUAAAAAAGUAAUGAUUAGUCACAUAUAUAUAGAAGCAUCCUAUGGUAAGCAUAGAUUCAAGUUUGCUCUAGUCAUGAAUCCCCCCCCCACUACCUCCUGGGCUACAAUGAGUAAUCAAAUAAAAAAAAUUCAUAGGAAUAUGUGGGGGAAAAAAAUCUUCUGAUUAAACACAAGAAUGGUCAUAAUUACUCAGGUGAGCAUUGUGGCCCAUGGGCACAUUGUUUAAUCAAAAUGCAGAGAAUAUGUUAAUUUGCAUAUUACAUGUACAUGUAAUAUUGAUCAGUUGGUCAUGUGAUAUAAUUUUAUAUCUGAAAUGAAAUGAUGACAAUUGUAUGAAUGAUGAUGAGUUUAAAGUCAGAUUCUUUAACACAUGUAUUUUCAAAAAAAAAAUUGUCUGGAGGUAUUUUGGAAAUUUACUUUUUAUAGUAUUGUAAUAAAUGUUUGUUUUCAUGCUAUGUUGAAGGUCGAGUAUCUACGAACACAACUGAAUUGAAUGAACAUCAGAAGUAUUAGAUAAUGUAUUUACAACUGAAACUGUAAUAGAAUUUUAUCAAUUGAAUUUGUGAAAUUAAUUUGAUAAUAAAUUUUGAUUUUUUACCUAAAUUUAAACAUUUUGUUGCUUAGUAGAUCAGACAACAUUUAAAUCAUAAGAUUUAAACAUGAUACCCAUAGGCCAUUUUACUUAAACUGUUUGUAUUGACUGAAUGGUUCAGUACUUUUUUGUCAGUCAAUAACUUAAUACCUCAGUAUGUGAGCAGGUCCGGGAGAAUGGUGUCUGGUGUGAAUAAGGGACAUGCAGUCAAUCUGUAGCUCAUGGAUCUAAAAGAGGAAUAAAUAUGAUAUACGCUCUG